CCUCCGUGCUCAGGCUGAGGUCACCGCUCCCCGCCAGGGACUGACUCCGCCCUUGUCCCGGAUACACGGAGAGCAGAACCACAAGAAGCGAAGGUCCCAAGAUCCACUGACUGACUGCCUUGGGACAAACUAAUAAAUGGCAGAGCCAGGCCUCAAGCCCA
Leopardus geoffroyi (Geoffroy's cat) is the source of this 161-nucleotide long non-coding RNA. RefSeq lists it as uncharacterized. Lineage: Eukaryota; Metazoa; Chordata; Mammalia; Carnivora; Felidae. The record is from RefSeq and is a predicted model, not a curated record. The transcript has 2 exons.